CGGGCCGUGGUCGAAGGCGUGCCGGGCGGCGGCGACCGCCGCGUCGACGUCGGCCCUGGUGACCGCGGGGACGCUGCCCACCGGCUCGACC
This 91-nucleotide transfer RNA is filed under the name Nocardia brasiliensis. RNAcentral describes it as "tRNA-Ser(cga)". The record is from RNAcentral. Lineage: Bacteria; Bacillati; Actinomycetota; Actinomycetes; Mycobacteriales; Nocardiaceae.